This 1160-nucleotide long non-coding RNA is filed under the name Marmota monax (woodchuck). Lineage: Eukaryota; Metazoa; Chordata; Mammalia; Rodentia; Sciuridae. The record is from RNAcentral.
GGGGAAGAGGCCUUGGGAUCCAGGAAACUGGCGGGACCUGGAGCUGUGUCAAUGCCUGGAGGCAUGUCACAUAAUUCCCCGAACCUUAUCUCAGGUGUGUGUCCUGGGUUUGUUCACACAUGUGCACAGGAAGGGGCUCUAUGCUAGGGGUGUGGAAUCAUAAACACAAUGUGCACAUUCUCUGUGCCUGAACAGGAAACUGAAUAAAAGAAUGUGCAUAAGAAGCUUGGGAAGGACUUUGUGGUUGGUACGUGCAGUAAUGGAGAAGAAGGGCCCAGGGUGGACCAGUAUGCCUGGAUUUGAAUCCCAGCUCCAUGAGUUUCAGCGGCCUGUACUAGAGGAAAUUUAUUUCUGCUCUUCUUGCAGGAGAAGAUGUGGCAGAUUGAUGUGAAGUAUGUAGAAAUAUAGUCUGCUCAAGACCACAUCACACAUAGUCAGCUCCAGUCUCAUGCUUGCUUCUAAAAGGAAAGGCUCAAUUUACCUUCCCGGGCAGUAAGAAUCAUGGAAUUCGGUGGACCUUUCAGUGGAUGCUCUCACCUCCAAUUAUGUGGUAAUCACAUGUCAUUGUGGCCAGGCAGACCAUAAGCCCUUCUGACCUCACACCUGCUUUUUUCCAGAUUGCACAGAGGAAAGGGGAAACAAAAUGCACCAUUACUAGCAUUCUUAGGAUCAUGUUGGAAGCCACUGUUCCUUAUGCAGAAGAUAUAGAUCCUGAAAUGGAGUAAGAGACUGGGUUUGAAUGAGUACCUCUCUGGGAUUCAGUUUCUUCAUCUAUUAAAUGGAAUAAUAAUCUUACUUUAUAGACUUCACUUCUCGUGAAAAGUUGAUCAGGUAAGGGCUUUUAUACACUUCAAUGAGCCCUAACUUUGUAACAUGUAUUGUCUUGUCAGACCCUCUCUUCAGCCAAGUCAACUUCAGCCAGGAAGCCUAGAGAAGAGGGAGGAAGAGAGAAAGAGCAUCCACUUUAUUACAUGUCAUCUGAACCAACCUGGCUGUCAGGGGGUUAACAAUGUGCAGCUAGGUUACAGGUCCAUGAAGAACUUGCUCCUCCCACCCCCAACCCCUACUUUGCAGCUUCCCUUUGUUAUGGGAGCUUUGGCAAGGAGAGAGGCAGGGUAGAGGAACAGCAGCCACAUAGGGUUUCCCAGAAACUAAUAAAU